Thalassophryne amazonica is the source of this 125-nucleotide long non-coding RNA. RefSeq lists it as uncharacterized. NCBI's taxonomy places the organism in Eukaryota, Metazoa, Chordata, Actinopteri, Batrachoidiformes, Batrachoididae. The record is from RefSeq and is a predicted model, not a curated record. The transcript has 4 exons.
AGUUCCUAGGGAAUCUAUGUAGCUGUUGCUCCCAACAUGGCAACGCCCAGACAUGGGCUUCAUAUCGGCUGUUCCAGGUCUCUAUAGAAAAUCUAUGGGUGGCGUCACACAGCCUUUGUCCAGUA